RNAcentral lists this ribosomal RNA (270 nucleotides) under uncultured archaeon. Its description in RNAcentral is "partial 16S ribosomal RNA". It matches the Rfam family "Archaeal small subunit ribosomal RNA", at positions 477 to 747 of the family's 1478-position model. The record is from RNAcentral.
CUGCAGCUCAAGUGGUGAUCAUUAUUAUUGGGCCUAAAACGUCCGUAGCCUGUUUAGUAAAUGCCUGGGUAAAUCGUGUAGCUUAACUAUACGAAUUCCGGGUAGACUGCUAAACUUGAGACCGGGAGAGGCUAGAGGUACUCCUGGGGUAGAGGUGAAAUUCUGUAAUCCUAGGGGGACCACCAGUGGCGAAGGCGUCUAGCUAGAACGGGUCUGACGGUGAGGGACGAAGCCCUGGGGCACAAACCGGAUUAGAGACCCGAGUAGUCC